CCGCGUCGCCCGCCGUCGCCAGUGCGGAGCGUGGGGAGCACUCGGCCGCAGCCCUCGCCUGCCGCGGAGGGUCGCGCCCGGCGCCGCCGGCCAGGCUGCCCUGUGCCCGGGCCUUUCCGUCCUUGGAGCGGAUCGUUGCCCGCCGGGCGCCCGCCCGCAGUGACAGCACCCGCCGGAGCCGAGGCCGCGGCGGCGGCCGUGCCCAUGACCGGGUAUCUGUGCUUAGCUUCUUCCCCGUCGCCUCUGCCACGCCUCACCCCGGCACUGGGACCUCAGGUAGCCACCUGCCC
This 290-nucleotide long non-coding RNA is filed under the name Equus asinus (donkey). Its description in RNAcentral is "lncRNA (ENSEASG00005033472.1)". Lineage: Eukaryota; Metazoa; Chordata; Mammalia; Perissodactyla; Equidae. The record is from RNAcentral.